AUACGGAGGGUCCAAGCGUUAUCCGGAAUCAUUGGGUUUAAAGGGUCCGCAGGCGGUCAAUUAAGUCAGAGGUGAAAGCCCAUCGCUCAACGAUGGAACUGCCUUUGAUACUGGUUGACUUGAGUUAUACGGAAGUAGAUAGAAUAAGUAGUGUAGCGGUGAAAUGCAUAGAUAUUACUUAGAAUACCGAUUGCGAAGGCAGUCUACUACGUAUAUACUGACGCUGAGGGACGAAAGCGUGGAGAGCGAACAGGAUUAGAUACCCAGUAGUCC
RNAcentral lists this ribosomal RNA (273 nucleotides) under uncultured bacterium. Its description in RNAcentral is "partial 16S ribosomal RNA". It matches the Rfam family "Bacterial small subunit ribosomal RNA", at positions 523 to 796 of the family's 1533-position model. The record is from RNAcentral.